Long non-coding RNA from Labrus mixtus (cuckoo wrasse), 649 nucleotides. RefSeq lists it as uncharacterized. The transcript has 3 exons. NCBI's taxonomy places the organism in Eukaryota, Metazoa, Chordata, Actinopteri, Labriformes, Labridae. The record is from RefSeq and is a predicted model, not a curated record.
GGAAGAUGGACUUGUCAUAAAAGGGGAGACAUGUCGAGUAGGUGCUACUUAGCCAGAUAAAUUCCAGAGAAAGGGCAAGAGCCGAGCGUGUGGUGGGAAAGGACCAGCAACAUGGAGAGGUGGAAUUGGACGCUUACUCAAACAUCCAGAGGUAGCCAACUUUUCCAAGACAUUUCUUGCAGACUCCAGUCUCACCUUCUGUGAUGUGUUCACCAUCGACAGUGGAACAAGGUUGGUCUAUUUUAGUAUCAUUCAUUUUCCUAGCUUAGUCUUAAACAGCUAAUGUACAUGCAUGUUUGGUAAAUUAAUUUGCUGCCACAUUAAAUAACAUCCAAUAUUUAGAAGCCAACAGCAUAUAGCUACUAAAGCCAUUUAUUUUAGCAUUGUCCACACGUUUAUGACAAUGAGGAUACAUUCAGGAUUGGUGUCUGACCAGGGUGUACUCUUCUUGUAAGCCCUGCUUUAUCACUCAACAUUUUUCUUUUAUGACUCUUAAUCAAUUCUUUGUCUUUAAUAUCUCUCUAAUAAAAUAAUAAAUAAUAAAAUGUUACGGGCACAUUGUAUCUGAAUGCUCAACACUUUGCUUCUCCUAAUUGCACUAAGUUAGGGUAAGACAUCAAGAUCAAUCUUUAUUUCCAGGACAAGCUGA